Molecule: ribosomal RNA, 403 nt
Filed under: Limosilactobacillus oris
Lineage: Bacteria; Bacillati; Bacillota; Bacilli; Lactobacillales; Lactobacillaceae
Description: bacterial SSU rRNA
Rfam family: Bacterial small subunit ribosomal RNA
Source: RNAcentral
UGCCUAAUACAUGCAAGUCGAGCGCACUGGCCCAACAGAAAUGACGUGCUUGCACUGAUUUGACGUUGGAUUCCCAGUGAGCGGCGGACGGGUGAGUAACACGUGGGCAACCUGCCCCAAAGCGGGGGAUAACAUUUGGAAACAGGUGCUAAUACCGCAUAACUUGGAAAACCACAUGGUUUUCCAAUAAAAGAUGGUUUCGGCUAUCACUUUGGGAUGGGCCCGCGGUGCAUUAGCUAGUUGGUGAGGUAACGGCUUACCAAGGCGAUGAUGCAUAGCCGAGUUGAGAGACUGAUCGGCCACAAUGGAACUGAGACACGGUCCAUACUCCUACGGGAGGCAGCAGUAGGGAAUCUUCCACAAUGGGCGCAAGCCUGAUGGAGCAACACCGCGUGAGUGAAGA